RNAcentral lists this ribosomal RNA (501 nucleotides) under uncultured bacterium. RNAcentral describes it as "partial 16S ribosomal RNA". It matches the Rfam family "Bacterial small subunit ribosomal RNA", at positions 30 to 523 of the family's 1533-position model. The record is from RNAcentral.
AUUGAACGCUGGCGGCAGGCUUAACACAUGCGAGUCGAGCGGAGCGAGGGUGCUUGCACCUUAGCUUAGCGGCGGACGGGUGAGUAAUGCUUAGGAAUCUGCCUAUUAGUGGGGGACAACAUUCCGAAAGGGAUGCUAAUACCGCAUAAGCCCUACGGGGGAAAGCAGGGGAUCUUCGGACCUUGCGCUAAUAGAUGAGCCUAAGUCGGAGUAGCUAGUUGGUGGGGUAAAGGCCUACCAAGGCGACGAUCUGUAGCGGGUCUGAGAGGAUGAUCCGCCACACUGGGACUGAGACACGGCCCAGACUCCUACGGGAGGCAGCAGUGGGGAAUAUUGGACAAUGGGCGGAAGCCUGAUCCAGCCAUGCCGCGUGUGUGAAGAAGGCCUUUUGGUUGUAAAGCACUUUAAGCGAGGAGGAGGCUACUUAGAUUAAUACUCUGGGAUAGUGGACGUUACUCGCAGAAUAAGCACCGGCUAACUCUGUGCCAGCCGCCGCGGUAA